CCUACGGGAGGCAGCAGUGGGGAAUUUUGGACAAUGGGCGCAAGCCUGAUCCAGCAAUGCCGCGUGAGUGAAGAAGGCCUUCGGGUUGUAAAGCUCUUUUGUCAGGGAAGAAACGGCAGUUUCUAAUACAGAUUGCUAAUGACGGUACCUGAAGAAUAAGCACCGGCUAACUACGUGCCAGCAGCCGCGGUAAUACGUAGGGUGCAAGCGUUAAUCGGAAUUACUGGGCGUAAAGCGUGCGCAGGCGGUUUUGUAAGUUUGUCGUGAAAUCCCCGGGCUCAACCUGGGAAUGGCGAUGAAGACUGCAAGGCUAGAAUCUGGCAGAGGGGGGUAGAAUUCCACGUGUAGCAGUGAAAUGCGUAGAGAUGUGGAGGAACACCGAUGGCGAAGGCAGCCCCCUGGGUCAAGAUUGACGCUCAUGCACGAAAGCGUGGGGAGCAAACAGGAUUAGAUACCCUGGUAGUCCACGCCCUAAACGAUGUCUACUAGUUGUCGGGUUUUAAUAACUUGGUAACGCAGCUAACGCGUGAAGUGACCGCCUGGGGAGUACGGUCGCAAGNUUAAAACCGUNAAAUGAGUAGAGNGNGAGAGNGACGACGACGACGACGAGGAGGAGG
This 617-nucleotide ribosomal RNA is filed under the name uncultured bacterium. RNAcentral describes it as "bacterial SSU rRNA". It matches the Rfam family "Bacterial small subunit ribosomal RNA", at positions 338 to 944 of the family's 1533-position model. The record is from RNAcentral.